UUUCGACCUGAACUCAGGUGUGAGCACCUGCUGAACUUAAGCAUAUCAGUAAGCAGAGGAAAAGAAACUAACAAGGAUUCCCUUAGUAACGGCGAGUGAA
Molecule: ribosomal RNA, 100 nt
Filed under: Scutylenchus sp. CX-2012
Lineage: Eukaryota; Metazoa; Nematoda; Chromadorea; Rhabditida; Merliniidae
Description: partial 28S ribosomal RNA
Rfam family: Eukaryotic large subunit ribosomal RNA
Source: RNAcentral